UAAACUGAAUUUUCCCUUUCAGUCAGCAUUAGGGUUUUAAACCCUAAACUGAACUCGUUCCCUUUAGUCAGCAUUAGGGUUUUAAAUCCUAAACUGAACUUUUUUCCUUUAGUCAGCAUUAGGGUUUUAAACCCUAAACUGAACUUUUUUCCAUUCAGCCAGCAUUAUGGUUUUAAACCCUAAACUGAGCUUUUCCAUGCAAUCAGCAUUAGGGUUUUAAACCCUGAACUGAAUUUUUCCUUUAGUCAGCAUUAGGGUUUUAAACCCUAAACUGAACUUUUUUCCAUUCAGCCAGCAUUAGGGUUUUAAAUCCUAAACUGAGCUUUUC
This 328-nucleotide long non-coding RNA is filed under the name Nicotiana tabacum (common tobacco). Its description in RNAcentral is "long non-coding RNA (NTAB_LNC016278)". Lineage: Eukaryota; Viridiplantae; Streptophyta; Magnoliopsida; Solanales; Solanaceae. The record is from RNAcentral.